Gasterosteus aculeatus aculeatus (three-spined stickleback) is the source of this 914-nucleotide long non-coding RNA. Lineage: Eukaryota; Metazoa; Chordata; Actinopteri; Perciformes; Gasterosteidae. The record is from Ensembl.
CGACCUGCCACUCCUUUUCUCUCAGGCGCAGCAUCCAUCUCACACACGGGUUUCACAUGAACAGCGGUACGUCAGAACAUCACCCGCCUUUAUUAAUACCAACCCGGCAACGUUCUCUUGUCGCCUUUGUUGUGGUUGUUGGACAGAAUCUCUCUCCGCCGCACCGGAGGCCCGCGGAGAAGCAGCGAGGCGAUCAAACGAAUGCAUUCAUCUCCCUGCCUGCCUGGUCUAUCAGAGGACGACACACUCCUUUAUCUCAUCGAGCAUCUGGUAAUGGAAGUAAACACUGCAUCCUCGGCCGGGCAGCGAGUCAGAUGAACGGCAGCGUCCAUGUGUGUGACAGAGAGGGAGGUGUUUGUGCGAGAUGGAAAAGGGAACAAGACGGGCCUGUUACAUCGUGCUAAUCCUAAUCCUAGCCUGCAAUUGUGUCCAAUGUCCACCCCUCCUGCUCCGAGUCACUUCCAGGUCUUGGCUUAGCCGGGGGAAAAAAAGGUGAAUGUCUGCUUCCAUGGCGCCGUCGGUCAGGCGAACCCACUGACCUUGGCGCGGCGGCUGCUUGGCGAGCCUCUGGAGAACCUUCGUCCUCCAUCGUUCCAAUCCAGGAGAUCCGAUUGAAACUGCGAGUGUGCCAUCUGCCCCUUGACAAGAUUACACUGUGCGAUUGGCCAAGAAAUCCUCUAGCGUGGCAGAUUAAUAUUGAAAUAUAGGGCAGGAAUAGCUGCUGCAUGUCUAGAUUCUGUUUUGCCGUGUAGCCCCUCUGAAUUCAUGCCACAGCAACAACAUUUUCCCAGGUGAUUGGAUUAGGAAAUGUAUUAAUUGUUUCUAUCCGUCCCUUUUUGCAUCUCUUUUUCUGCUGAUCCCCCUGGUCCUUUUUUUGUAUUUUGCAUGUGUUUGUGUUAAUCCAGAACUUCCUC